ACCAAAGGCAUGGCAGAGUAGCUACGUUCGGACGGGAUAAGUGCUGAAAGCAUCUAAGUACGAAACCCACCCUGAGAUUAGGUAUCCCUGUCGCAAGACACUUAAGACUCCACGGAGACUACGUGGUUGAUAGGUCACAGAUGUAAGCGCAGCAAUGCGUUCAGUCGAGUGAUACUAAUAAGUCGUGCGGCUUGAUUUA
This 199-nucleotide ribosomal RNA is filed under the name bacterium. Its description in RNAcentral is "partial 23S ribosomal RNA". It matches the Rfam family "Bacterial large subunit ribosomal RNA", at positions 2728 to 2925 of the family's 2925-position model. The record is from RNAcentral.